RNAcentral lists this ribosomal RNA (253 nucleotides) under uncultured bacterium. RNAcentral's name for it is "partial 16S ribosomal RNA". It matches the Rfam family "Bacterial small subunit ribosomal RNA", at positions 524 to 776 of the family's 1533-position model. The record is from RNAcentral.
CACGUAGGUGGCAAGCGUUGUCCGGAUUUACUGGGCGUAAAGGAUGCGUAGGCGGACAUUUAAGUCAGAUGUGAAAUACCCGAGCUUAACUUGGGUGCUGCACUUGAAACUGGGUGUCUAGAGUGCAGGAGAGGUAAGUGGAAUUCCUAGUGUAGCGGUGAAAUGCGUAGAGAUUAGGAAGAACACCAGUGGCGAAGGCGACUUACUGGACUGUAACUGACGCUGAGGCAUGAAAGCGUGGGGAGCAAACAGG